CAGUAGCCACGGUAAUACAGAGGGUGCGAGCGUUAAUCGGAUUUACUGGGCGUAAAGCGUGCGUAGGCGGCUUCUUAAGUCGGAUGUGAAAUCCCUGAGCUUAACUUAGGAAUUGCAUUCGAUACUGGGAAGCUAGAGUAUGGGAGAGGAUGGUAGAAUUCCAGGUGUAGCGGUAAAAUGCGUAGAGAUCUGGAGGAAUACCGAUGGCGAAGGCAGCCAUCUGGCCUAAUACUGACGCUGAGGUACGAAAGCAUGGGGAGCAAACAGGAUUAGAUACCCGUGUAGUCCCUGUCUCUUAUAC
RNAcentral lists this ribosomal RNA (301 nucleotides) under uncultured bacterium. RNAcentral describes it as "partial 16S ribosomal RNA". It matches the Rfam family "Bacterial small subunit ribosomal RNA", at positions 509 to 807 of the family's 1533-position model. The record is from RNAcentral.